UGAGUGAUUUCAGUGUUUCUUGUCUAAGAGGAAGAAGGAUGAUGUUGUUGUCCCUCCAAGAGAGCUGCAGAGGGAUGGAGGGGAGGAGAGGAGGACAUUUACCACCUUGGUGUCAUGAAUCCCGAUUUGGGAUGAGGUCUUGGUGCUUGGAAGAAGUGGGAAAUUAAAGAUAAGAGGAUACGUGGUAAUUGGCUGCUGCUUGACUCCAGGCUCAGCCCUGAACCAUGAAAGAAACAGCAUCCUGUUUAAAAGGAGAAUCAAAAGCAACAAUAAAAGUAUUUAUAGCUGCACGUACAGACGCAGAAAUGAGGACGCUGGCGAAGCCAGCAGUUGGGUAUGUUAAAUAAUAAAGAGGUGAAAUGAGCAGCGAAAGACGUGUCUCAGUGGUUUAAGUAGAAGAAGGGAGACUUUGGCUUGCUUAAGCUCUCUUCCCAUGGCUGUGCCCUUCAAUUAAUAAAUUAAAAGCGCAUUUAUUAAUGA
Molecule: long non-coding RNA, 480 nt
Organism: Tyto alba (common barn owl)
Lineage: Eukaryota; Metazoa; Chordata; Aves; Strigiformes; Tytonidae
Exons: 2
Source: RefSeq, a predicted model, not a curated record